UAUAUCUCUUCACCUUAUUCCUCUCAAGUUUUUAGUCUAGAGCACGUAAACAUAUUUUCUGAGAAUCUUUCUCUUUCUUCAUCAAAUCUGUGUAAUAUCGUUUUACACUUGUACUACUGCUGCUGUACACAUUCAUUCUCCUCAUAUCACAUCGUGGUCAUGAACCUUAAUCGACGCAGUCAUUGUAUUGAGAGUUCUAUUUCUCUCUGUUAGACACAAAAGCUCGAGAUACUGGAGAUAUCAAGGAACCUUGACUGAUUUUGCAAAAAUCCACACAGUGAUGCCAGAACAACACCAUCUGUAAACUCACUCUGACACUUGUCUUGACACAUGCUUUCCGUCUUGCAUCGACAGCUCCCCACACUGCACUGUUAUCCCUUGACUUGAGUGCAACCUCAUAAAAAGAAUCAUACUAAUACCCAUGCUUCAUCUCAAGGUUUUCUAUCAACUUUUCAAAUCUUUAUUUCAGUUCCUCUUUCAGUACUGCCCCUUUCUCUCCAGUAAUCCAAAAUCUCCUCUGAAGCCUCAUCUUCUAUUUUAUUAUCUUGAUCUCAUCUUCACACAAACAACGUUCUUUGUUUCUGUUGAAACUUAAAAACUUUUCUUCAUAUCCUUGUAGUGCAGAGAUUCUUUAGAAGAUAUCUGCUUCUUUAAAAUAUUAUCAUGAAUAGACUGCGUCAUCAGAUUCAAGCCGCUUCUCUACGCCCU
Molecule: long non-coding RNA, 708 nt
Filed under: Brassica napus (rape)
Lineage: Eukaryota; Viridiplantae; Streptophyta; Magnoliopsida; Brassicales; Brassicaceae
Description: long non-coding RNA (BNAP_LNC018745)
Source: RNAcentral